RNAcentral lists this ribosomal RNA (253 nucleotides) under uncultured bacterium. RNAcentral's name for it is "partial 16S ribosomal RNA". It matches the Rfam family "Bacterial small subunit ribosomal RNA", at positions 524 to 776 of the family's 1533-position model. The record is from RNAcentral.
UACGUAGGGGGCAAGCGUUGUCCGGAAUCAUUGGGCGUAAAGAGCGCGUAGGCGGCUUGGCAAGUGAGGCGUGAAAGUCCUGGGCUCAACCCGGGGACGGCGCUUCAGACUGCGGGGCUAGAGUCCGGAAGAGGGUGGUGGAAUUCCGAGUGUAGAGGUGAAAUUCGUAGAUAUUCGGAGGAACACCGGCGGCGAAGGCGGCCACCUGGUCCGGAACUGACGCUCAAGUGCGAAAGCGUGGGGAGCAAACAGG